This 134-nucleotide ribosomal RNA is filed under the name Lachnospiraceae bacterium. Its description in RNAcentral is "partial 23S ribosomal RNA". It matches the Rfam family "Bacterial large subunit ribosomal RNA", at positions 2793 to 2925 of the family's 2925-position model. Lineage: Bacteria; Bacillati; Bacillota; Clostridia; Lachnospirales; Lachnospiraceae. The record is from RNAcentral.
CCCCCCUCAAGAUGAGAUAUCCCAUCUCUUUAAGAGAGUAAGACCCCUUGAAGACUACAAGGUAGAUAGGAGUGAGGUGUAAGCAUGGUAACAUGUUCAGCUGACACUUACUAAUCGGUCGAGGGCUUUUCCAG